UUCUCUCCUAGAGAAGCGAGCGGUUGGAGUAGAUCUGGGGUCUUAUGUAAAAUGGAAAUAGCGAGUUGAACAAAGCCUAAUUUUAAGAAAUUAUUUUUAAUCUUAGACAGAACUACAGUUGGAGGGAAAAAAUGUGCCAGCACUCGCGGUCAUACAUUUGUCCUAUCCAACCCAAAACUAGUACCAGAAGGGCUGUUAGUAAGUGGGUUGGGGUAGAGAGAGGCUGUGAGGUGAAAUUCCAGUUCUAUCUAUUUUAUACAAACCCUAAAGGCUUCCCUUCAUCAGCUCCACCACAAGACCAGGAUUAGAUACCCUGCUAUUGGGAGGGAAAAAUGGAGUUAGGGAGUAGGUCAUUGACUGAAAACCAUCUAGGAUGGCGGUUUUUUUUAUUAUUAGAUAAAUGUGUUUUUAAAACGAAAAUACACGACUAUCUUUCUUACCUUUGAAAAAUUCAUCCUGUACACCGCCGUCUGAAGAGUCAGCUUUAAUAGCUAGCCCUGUUACUCCCAUAUCAGUAAUAAGUCAGGUAAGGUGCAGACUAUGGGUAAGAAGAAAUGCAUUUCACUACACGUCGAGAGAAUUGGUUGAAAGCCAUUUUCAAGAAGAAUUUAAUAGUAAGAUUUUUUUAUCAUAAAAACCUGAACUAAUUUCAAAAAAAUGUACAAAUCGCCCGUCAACCCAAUAAAGGGAAAGUCGUAACAAAGUUGUUCUACUGGAAAGUAGAGCAGGGAUUAA
Molecule: non-coding RNA, 735 nt
Filed under: Columbicola macrourae
Lineage: Eukaryota; Metazoa; Arthropoda; Insecta; Psocodea; Philopteridae
Source: RNAcentral